RNAcentral lists this transfer RNA (70 nucleotides) under Pama pama. RNAcentral's name for it is "tRNA-Ile". It matches the Rfam family "tRNA". From Rfam's summary of the family: Transfer RNA (tRNA) molecules are approximately 80 nucleotides in length. Their secondary structure includes four short double-helical elements and three loops (D, anti-codon, and T loops). Further hydrogen bonds mediate the characteristic L-shaped molecular structure. tRNAs have two regions of fundamental functional importance: the anti-codon, which is responsible for specific mRNA codon recognition, and the 3' end, to which the tRNAs corresponding amino acid is attached (by aminoacyl-tRNA synthetases). tRNAs cope with the degeneracy of the genetic code in two manners: having more than one tRNA (with a specific anti-codon) for a particular amino acid; and 'wobble' base-pairing, i.e. permitting non-standard base-pairing at the 3rd anti-codon position. Lineage: Eukaryota; Metazoa; Chordata; Actinopteri; Sciaenidae. The record is from RNAcentral.
GGAGUUGUGCCUGAAAUAAAGGACCACUUUGAUAGAGUGAACUAUGAAGGUUAAACUCCCUCCAACUCCU